GGUGGUUUGUCGCGUCGUUUGUGUAAGUCCGCAGCUUAACUGCGGGACUGCAGGCGAUACGGGCAUAACUUGAGUGCUGUAGGGGAGACUGGAAUUCCUGGUGUAGCGGUGGAAUGCGCAGAUAUCAGGAGGAACACCGAUGGCGAAGGCAGGUCUCUGGGCAGUAACUGACGCUGAGGAGCGAAAGCAUGGGGAGCGAACAGGAUUAGAUACCCUGGUAGUCCAUGCCGUAAACGGUGGGCGCUAGGUGUGAGUCCCUUCCACGGGGUUCGUGCCGUAGCUAACGCAUUAAGCGCCCCGCCUGGGGAGUACGGCCGCAAGGCUAAAACUUAAAGGAAUUGACGGGGGCCCGCACAAGCGGCGGAGCAUGUGGAUUAAUUCGAUGCAACGCGAAGAACCUUACCUGGGCUUGACAUACACCGGACCGGGCCAGAGAUGGUCUUUCCCUUUGUGGCUGGUGUACAGGUGGUGCAUGGUUGUCGUCAGCUCGUGUCGUGAGAUGUUGGGUUAAGUCCCGCAACGAGCGCAACCCUUGUCUUAUGUUGCCAGCACUUCGGGUGGGGACUCAUAAGAGACUGCCGGGGUUAACUCGGAGGAAGGUGGGGAUGACGUCAAAUCAUCAUGCCCCU
RNAcentral lists this ribosomal RNA (629 nucleotides) under uncultured bacterium. RNAcentral's name for it is "bacterial SSU rRNA". It matches the Rfam family "Bacterial small subunit ribosomal RNA", at positions 574 to 1202 of the family's 1533-position model. The record is from RNAcentral.